UGGUAGGUAGCAUGACAUGUGAUUCUAGAAGCCCUCAGCACUGGGAAACAUUCAGGCUGUGCUGCUUUUAGCUUGAGAAGGGAUUUCACACAAGCAGAACAAACAUGGGUCUAAAUGGAGCGUGACCCAUCUGAGUUGGUGCUUUGAAGGAGCUGAAGUCAUUCACACUUGCAGGUGCCUGGCAGCAGGUGAGGAGCUGGGACUGGAGUGGGAAAGGCAGCACAGUUUAACACAGAAGCCAUCCCAGACAUCCCUGUUUGACCACCGGAGCGUGGAUCUGGCCAAGCAACAAGCUGCAAAUGGUUGACAAGGAUGCUGAAGCCACUGGGCUUUGCAAUUAGGGAAACUAAUUGCAAUAAUGGGAGAUGAAAUGCAAGGUCAGCCAGCAGCCAAGGAACAGCUCGUGGCCGUCGAUGGUUAUACCAACCACAGUCAACAUUAAAACUUUUUAUAGUGGUGUUGGGACUACGGCGCAGAAGAAUAAGAAAUCAGAGAAGGCAAAUGCAUAUAAAGUGCCUUGGAAAUCCCUCUGCCAUUGCAGUGUUACCUUCCUAACCGGGUCCUAACCCCUACCCAUGUCCCCUGAAAGAGCCAUUAUGCACGUUAUGUGUCAGCAAAGACCCGUAUUUGUUUUUUUCUCUUUGUCUCAGUACUUCAAAUAA
Molecule: long non-coding RNA, 662 nt
Organism: Pezoporus flaviventris
Lineage: Eukaryota; Metazoa; Chordata; Aves; Psittaciformes; Psittacidae
Exons: 3
Source: RefSeq, a predicted model, not a curated record